CCUACGGGUGGCAGCAGUGGGGAAUUUUGGACAAUGGGCGCAAGCCUGAUCCAGCUAUUCCGCGUGUGGGAAGACGGCCUUCGGGUUGUAAACCACUUUUGUAGAGAACGAAAAGUCUAUUGAUAAUACCGAUAGAUGAUGACGGUACUAUAAGAAUAAGCACCGGCUAACUACGUGCCAGCAGCCGCGGUAAUACGUAGGGGGCGUGCGUUAAUCGGAAUUGCUGGGCGUAAAGGGUGUGCAGGCGGUUUUGCAAGAUGGAUGUGAAAGCCCCGGGCUUAACCUGGGAAAGCCAUACAUGACUGCAAGACUAGAGUGCGUCAGAGGGGGGUGGAAUUCCAAGUGUAGCAGUGAAAUGCGUAGAUAUUUGGAAGAACACCGAUGGCGAAGGCAGCCCCCUGGGACGCAACUGACGCUCAUCCACGAAAGCGUGGGGAGCAAACAGGAUUAGAUACCCGGGUAGUC
RNAcentral lists this ribosomal RNA (465 nucleotides) under uncultured bacterium. RNAcentral describes it as "partial 16S ribosomal RNA". It matches the Rfam family "Bacterial small subunit ribosomal RNA", at positions 338 to 795 of the family's 1533-position model. The record is from RNAcentral.